Molecule: ribosomal RNA, 1340 nt
Filed under: Clostridioides difficile
Lineage: Bacteria; Bacillati; Bacillota; Clostridia; Peptostreptococcales; Peptostreptococcaceae
Description: partial 23S ribosomal RNA
Rfam family: Bacterial large subunit ribosomal RNA
Source: RNAcentral
UGGGUUAGUCGGGACCUAAGCUGAGGCCGAAAGGCGUAGGUGAUGGACAACAGGUUGAUAUUCCUGUACUACCGAUAACCGUUUGAGAGAAGGGAUGACACAGUAGGAUAAGCUAAGCACACUGUUGGUUAUGUGUGCCCAAGCAUUGAGGCAGUCAAAGUAGGCAAAUCCGCUUUGAUAAUGCUGGGAUGUGAUGGGGAGCGAAAUUUAGUAGCGAAGUAGCUGAUUUCACACUGUCAAGAAAAGUCUCUAUCGAGGUUAAAGGUACCCGUACCGCAAACCGACACAGGUGGGUGAGGAGAGUAUCCUAAGGCCAGCGAGAGAACUGUUGUUAAGGAACUCGGCAAAAUGACCCCGUAACUUAGGGAUAAGGGGUGCCACCAUCAGGUGGCCGCAGAGAAUAGGCCCAAGCGACUGUUUACCAAAAACAUAGGUUUCUGCUAAGUCGCAAGACGAUGUAUAGGAGCUGACGCCUGCCCGGUGCUGGAAGGUUAAGGGGAUCUGUUAGAGCAAUCGAAGCAGUGAACUUAAGCCCCAGUAAACGGCGGCCGUAACUAUAACGGUCCUAAGGUAGCGAAAUUCCUUGUCGGGUAAGUUCCGACCCGCACGAAAGGCGUAACGAUUUGGGCACUGUCUCAACAACAGACUCGGUGAAAUUGUAAUUCCGGUGAAGAUGCCGGAUACCUGCGACAGGACGGAAAGACCCCAUGGAGCUUUACUGUAGCUUGACAUUGGGUCUUGGUACUACAUGUACAGGAUAGGUGGGAGGCUUUGAAACCAGGACGCCAGUUUUGGCGGAGCCAUCCUUGGGAUACCACCCUUGUAGUACUGGGACUCUAACCAUAGGCCAUGAAUCUGGUCUUGGGACACUGUCAGGUGGGCAGUUUGACUGGGGCGGUCGCCUCCCAAAAGGUAACGGAGGCGCUCAAAGGUUCUCUCAGUACGGUCGGAAAUCGUACGUAGAGUGUAAAGGCAAAAGAGAGCUUGAUUGCAAGACAUACAGGUCGAGCAAGGAUGAAAAUCGGACUUAGUGAUCCGGUGGUUCUGCGUGGAAGGGCCAUCGCUCAACGGAUAAAAGCUACCCUGGGGAUAACAGGCUUAUCUCCCCCAAGAGUCCACAUCGACGGGGAGGUUUGGCACCUCGAUGUCGGCUCAUCACAUCCUGGGGCUGUAGUAGGUCCCAAGGGUUGGGCUGUUCGCCCAUUAAAGUGGUACGCGAGCUGGGUUCAGAACGUCGUGAGACAGUUCGGUCCCUAUCCGUCGCAGGCGUAGGAAAUUUGAGAAGACCUGUCCUUAGUACGAGAGGACCGGGAUGGACGUACCUCUGGUGUACCAGUUGU